This 468-nucleotide ribosomal RNA is filed under the name uncultured bacterium. RNAcentral describes it as "partial 16S ribosomal RNA". It matches the Rfam family "Bacterial small subunit ribosomal RNA", at positions 28 to 507 of the family's 1533-position model. The record is from RNAcentral.
GACGAACGCUGGCGGCGUGCUUAACACAUGCAAGUCGAACGGAAAGGCCCUGCUUUUGUGGGGUGCUCGAGUGGCGAACGGGUGAGUAACACGUGAGUAACCUGCCCUUGACUUUGGGAUAACUUCAGGAAACUGGGGCUAAUCCCGGAUAGGAGCCCCUGCUGCAUGGUGGGGGUUGGAAAGUUUCGGCGGUUGGGGAUGGACUCGCGGCUUAUCGGCUUGUUGGUGGGGUAGUGGCUUACCAAGGCUUUGACGGGUAGCCGGCCUGAGAGGGUGACCGGCCACAUUGGGACUGAGAGACGGCCCAGACUCCUACGGGAGGCAGCAGUGGGGAAUAUUGCACAAUGGGCGGAAGCCUGAUGCAGCAACGCCGCGUGCGGGAUGACGGCCUGCGGGGUGUAAACCGCUUUCGCCUGUGACGAAGCGUGAGUGACGGUAAUGGGUAAAGAAGCACCGGCUAACUACGUG